This is a small nuclear RNA of Mastomys coucha (southern multimammate mouse), 104 nucleotides long. NCBI's taxonomy places the organism in Eukaryota, Metazoa, Chordata, Mammalia, Rodentia, Muridae. The record is from RefSeq and is a predicted model, not a curated record.
GUGCUUACUCCAGCAGCACAUACACUGAAAUUGGGACAAUACAGAGACCAGCAUGGCCAAGGCACAAGGAUGUCAUGCAAAUUCAUCAAGUGUUCCAUAUUUUC